GAGGCAGAAAUAUUGUUAAAUCGAUAAACAUACUUUUAUUUAAAUUUUUUAUGUAUAUUGUUACAUCGAUAAAAAUAAUUUUAGUAAUUUUAACUCUGGAAACAAUCCUUUAUUACAUAUAUAUGCAAGGAAUGCAUAGUGAGAGCGAAAGUGUAAACCUAGGCAGGGGAUGGGGUGGGGGAUGAAGAGUGAUGGUGACGAUGUUUGUGGCGUUUGUGGUGUUUGUUGUGCUUAUGAUCCAAAUCCUCCUCAUAACUAGUGGACAAUGAGAUAAUUGUAGUAUCAAAGGGAAAGGGUGGACGAGUAGGGGCUAAAGAAGGAGCAUGGACAUGGCCAUGGGUUGGGGCUGGGGAUGGGGCUGGGGAUGAAGAAUGAUGGUCAUGGUGAUGAUGGUGUUUGUGUUUAAGAUUAUCAAACUCUUUAGCAAACACUGCAAAGAAGCUCACUUGAAGUAGGAUUAAUACCAAAACUCUAGCCAUGUCUCUAUGCAAGAUAAAGUAACUUGAAGAGAUAGAGAAGAUAUAUUGAUACUAUGAAACUAUCUCAAGGGAGUUGGAUGGGGAAAGUUGGUGAUGAUGAUGGUGACGGUGAUGAUGGUGUUUGUGUUUAAGAUUAUCAAACUCUUUAGCAAACACUGCAAAGAAGCUCACUUGAAGUAGGAUUAAUACCAAAACUCUAGCCAUGUCUCUAUGCAAGAUAAAGUAACUUGAAGAGAUAGAG
RNAcentral lists this long non-coding RNA (720 nucleotides) under Cicer arietinum (chickpea). RNAcentral describes it as "long non-coding RNA (CARI_LNC003401)". The record is from RNAcentral. Lineage: Eukaryota; Viridiplantae; Streptophyta; Magnoliopsida; Fabales; Fabaceae.